GGAGGCACCACCCUUCCACCGCUGCCUGUGCCCCCUGGAGGGGCGGCACCGCAGCUGUUGCUCGGCUAGGAGCUCUGGGUUUUAUAAAUAAUGCAGCUUGGAGGUGGGGGCCCACUCAGCCUUGGGUCACCCACUGUGGCAUCAUCUCCAGCUGGCAGUCCUGUGGCAGAGCCCCUCUGCCUUCCAGCCUGCUCCUCCUCUUCUGCUAUGUGAGUUUGGGCCAGAGGCCCAGCCUGUGUGAGCUGGGCCAGGGCAAAGGAGUGUGGAAGAACCCAGAACCCCCUGUCCUUUUGUACCCCGCCCCCACCAGCCUUCACAGGUUAACUGGCCACUGGCUCAGCAAAUCCAGGCUGGGAAGGGAUGACCCGCUGUACAGGGGCCUCCCUAGUUCUAGCCCCUCCAUUUUGCAGAUGGAGUAACCAAGCCCAGAGAGGGCAGGGAUGGCCAAGGCCAGCCAGCUGAUGAGCAGCUCCUUCCUGUCCCAUUCUGCUGUCAGUCAAGGCUCUUCUCAGCCUCAGCUCAGCUAAGAGCAGGGCCUGGAGGGCGGGGGGGAUGUUUGGGAAAGUGGUUGCGGCUGAGACGUUGCCAUGGCGAUGUUGCAGGAUGCCGAGCUGAAGUGGGGGUCUUACAGGGUCUCUGGGGCCCCCAGCUCCACACCCCUGUGGUCUUCUCCUCCCCAUCUCCUGUCCCUCACCCAGAGGCCUGUCAGGCAGCUCCGAUGACAGGCUGGGUGGGUGACAGGUGGUGCAGGUGAUGGGCUGGGUGGGUGACGAGCUGGGUGGGUGACAGGUGGUGCGGGUGCGAGGCAGGCAGGUGACAAGCUGGGUGGUGACGGGCCCUGCUGAUGACAGGCAGGGGGUGUGGUUGGCGGGGAUGCUGUCUCCUGGCUGGUGGCCUGUCGCAGCCCCCCACCCUCACACGUGUGCACAUGCACAGACUCUGGGUUCAGAGCUUGGGGCUAAGAUACUAAUGAGGCUUAUUACGUGUGGGGGGGCAGGUGCCCAGGCUCACUAAUGAGAGGCCUUUAACGAAGAGGGGAGACAGCUGGGGGGCUUUGAGGAAUUUGGCUGGCCCUCCUGGUCUGGAGGAUGAGCCAGGUCGGGACCCCACCUACCCUUCCCCCCGGCCACUUGGCUUUGUGUUAAUACUACCCACAGUCAUGAUAGUUACCAUUGUCCAAGCGUUUGCUACACUGGCCGAGCCCUUUACAUGCGUUUUCUUAUUUCAACUCAGCAGUCGUAGGAGGGAGGCACUAUUGCCCAUUUUAUGGAUGAGGAAUCUGAGGCUGAGAAGGCAAGGGACUUCACGUAACAAGUUUCUGUUGCAGCUGACAUUUUAAUCUUAAGUCUUUCUGUCCCCAGAGCCCGUGCUCUUAACCAUCCCACCAGUAACACUCAGGUCUUGGCGCAGACCCCGACCUUCUCUCAGGGCCUCAGUUUCACUCUUCUGGAAAAUGGAUGUGCGGUGGAGGAGUGAGCACCAUACGUUCUUCAGCUCUGACUUGGGUGGCUUCAGGGGCUCCUCCAGUUAACUGUCAAAGCCUCACCCCAUCUGGCCCAGAUUCUAGGUGACACCCCUGGACUGGAGAGAGGGCAGGGCUUAGCACUGAGGGAGCGGAGCUGAAGGGGGAUACCUGGGGUAUCCAGACCACUUCCUGCAUUGUGUGGUGGGGAGGCUGAGGCCUGGAGAGGAGCAACAAGGGCCCAAGGCCACAUACCCUGUAAGCUGUAGGGCCCCGUGGGAUCCCAGGUCUCCUGGCCUGUUGGAAGGGCGGGGCUGGGAGUGGUGCCAGAGCUGGAGGUCACCUCCUCCUGGACCCCACCCACCAGCCUAGCUUCUGCCCUGGAGGUUGUGAGCCCCUACAUCCUGGGAGGGGGCAGGGGGCUGUUGGCCACCUCUUUAGGGCCAUGCCCCUUCCCCAUCAGUCUGGGCCCGUAGUGUCAGUUGAUCUCCUCCCUUUGGGACCCAUUGGGGUGGAAACUCCCUGGCAACAACUGAUGGAUGGGUUAAGGCCUUGACAUUGGCCUGGGGCCACAGCAUGACCCUGGAGGGACCAGGCUAGGGCUGGGGGUCUUGGAGGGGAAUUUAAGGGAGAAGAAUUAGGGUCAUAAAUCUUGGAGCAUCUGGGUUCUCUUCUCCUCGACCUUAAUCUCUUACCAAACCUGCUCUCCGGCUGCUCAUCCAAGUCUGAGGGUUGAGGGGGGUCCACCUGCCCAUUCCCCUCUCCCUCCAACUGAUGCCUCCCCCCCCCCGAAAUUGCACCCCCUAUGGGGAAGAACAAGUUGCAGCCACUGCCGCUGGACAGAAUUAAGAACUUGUGUGUCUAGACUACUGGAUUUGGCCUCUGAUUCAUAACAGUAGGCAGGGCAGAGAGCUUCACUGCCUCAGUGUCCCCAGCCUUGGGUUUGAAAUCCUCUCCUGGUGCCUGACUGCUCAGUCAGGAAGGAGUGCUAAGACCAAGAGGGAUUUCACAGCUGCGGGACACAUGGCCCUGUCCUCAGAAGCCCCAUUCUGAGAUAAGCAGCACAGUCCUGGCCUUGAGAGCCCUCAAACCCAGAGGUGAGGUCUUGAACUCAGGCUGGGUGUGCGCUGAGGCUCAGGUAGGGAGUGGGUGGUGCUGGGUGGCUGGUCUGUUUUCUGAAGCAAAGGCCGAGGCUGGGGAGAGGCCAGAAGAAGGGUGGAGGUUUGCCUGGGGGCCUGAGGAGCCAUCUGUGGUUGGGGGUGGGAGCCUGGAAGGGUCUGGCUUUCCCAUAGUCCCGGGCAGCUGUAGCCUGAAGUUCUGGGGCCCUCCUAGCUCCCCAGGGAACCCGCUGCUGCCCGGCCCUGGGGACCCAGGCGUCCUGGCGGGUGAGGGCGGGUCUCCGGCAGGCGCCCUGCCAAGCCUCGCAGCCUGCUCACCAGGAAUCUUGUUGCUGAGAGAUGGAAGAUCCAGGUCGGGCCUGCAGCUCAUCUCUCCCCUCCGGGAGGAGGAGGGGCCCAAAGAUUCCUUCCUGCACCCGCCCUCCCAUCUGGGGCAGGGCCCUCCUCAGCAGUGGGUGGGGCUGGGGGGCCCAGGACAGGCCUCUAAGGCUCCAUCACAUGUCCUGGAGCCUAGCCCAGCCAGCAGUGGGCACCGGGGCACUCUGGAGGCAGAAUGAGCCUGGUGUGGCAGAGGAGAGGCGGGGUAGGGUGCUGAGGCCACAGGGGGUCCUGCAUAGGGGCCUAAGCCUGGCCCUGGCCCCCACUGGCUCCCCCAGGGCAGAGGGUGAAGAGUUGGUUCUCUUCCAUUAUGGGAGUGUGAUUUUAUUCCACGUGUCACGGAGUCUGAGAUUAACUUGCUCACCAGUCUGUGACAAACCCCUCACACCCAACACACACACACACAGAGGCACAGAGACACACGGAGAUCCUUGGUCUCACAAAGGCACCUUCCACAGACACACAUAAGCAUUUCCAUGCUACAACGCAUGGCAGGCUCUCACAUGCAGAUGCACAAGCACACACCGAGAUACAGUGUGUAAAGAUACACCGAGAUCUAGAUCCACAGUCUCCAAAGCACAACGUUCUCCCACUCACACUAAGGCCACACAGACAGAGAUACAAACAGGCGGUCCAGGGGGAUGCUCGCAGCCCUACCUAGACAUGCACAGAUCAAGGACGCCCGGUGCCCCACAGGCACAGAUACACGUAGACACACACAACCCCAGACACAGUCUUGUGGGCAAGCCUAGACCAACCGCCACACACACUGAGACAAAGGCCCAGAUACAUACAGAGACAAAGACAGGCACAGACACACAGCCGGCAGCACGCACACAAGCACAGGCGUGCACACCCGGACACAGACAAAGACAAAUAAAUGCCCAGAGGUUUUGCUGUGGACAAAAUGUGAGGCGCACACACACAUCUGGGCCUCCUGCUCGACCUCUCUACCUGGGGACGUGGUGAUCUGGCACCCGUGGCCCCAGGGAGAACUCUGAGGAACCUUCUGCUUGGUCAGAGCCCCCCACCCUGGGCCCAGGGCCAGCCCCCACCUCUGGCUCCCGGCCCGUGGCCGAGGCCAUGCAGCCACACCCUCAGCAGCGCCCUGACAUCCUACCUUACCCUCCGCGUCGUGCACACUCACGGUCACACCGUCUCCUGCACGUGCUCACGACACCCUCCACGCCCGCACACUUACGGUUUCUCCCUCACACCCCCCUCAGGUGUCCCCUCCUUGUUGUCUUUCUCAAUCACUGUCCCCACCCCCUCGCCCCGCAGACAUGCACAACCUCCGGCACAGCCUUCGUGGCCCACACCCUCGCCUUCUCACGCAGACCCCCAUGCACAAAUAGAACGCACGGGCUCUCCGCCACAGACCCACAAGCCACGUACACGCGCUCCUUCACAUACUUCCUCAGCACCGCU
Long non-coding RNA from Orcinus orca (killer whale), 4386 nucleotides. RefSeq lists it as uncharacterized. NCBI's taxonomy places the organism in Eukaryota, Metazoa, Chordata, Mammalia, Artiodactyla, Delphinidae. The record is from RefSeq and is a predicted model, not a curated record. The transcript has 2 exons.